This 405-nucleotide unclassified non-coding RNA is filed under the name uncultured fungus. RNAcentral's name for it is "partial contains 5.8S ribosomal RNA and internal transcribed spacer 2". The stretch from base 1 to 133 matches the Rfam family "5.8S ribosomal RNA", at positions 22 to 154 of the family's 154-position model. Lineage: Eukaryota; Fungi. The record is from RNAcentral.
UGGCUCUCCCAUCGAUGAAGAACGCAGCGAACUGCGAUACGUAAUGUGAAUUGCAGAAUUCAGUGAAUCAUCGAAUCUUUGAACGCACCUUGCGCCGCUCGGUUUUCCGAGGGGCACGUCUGUUUGAGUGUCACGUUAAUCUCUCACUUUCCUUCGGGUUAAGUGGAUUUGGACUUUGCUGUUGAUUUUUUUCAACGGCUAGUCUUGAAAUGCAUUGUUGCCUGCAGAGUCUUGCGCGGAGCGAGACUGGCGAAACGGUGUGAUAUUUACUAUCUGCGCUGAAGUAGUCGGUUUUGUGCUGCUGCACUUAGAAGUGCUCUGGGCUUAUAAUAAUAAAUGGCGAUCUUUGCAUCGACAUUUUCUUUCUUUGCGUUUGACCUCAAAUCAGAUGGGACUACCCGCUGA